GCGUCGGUAGGUAAGUGGUCAAAACACGCACGCUGUAAACGUGCUGCCUUAAUGGCUUCGGAGGUUCGAAUCCUCCCCGGCGCA
Molecule: transfer RNA, 84 nt
Filed under: bacterium
Lineage: Bacteria
Description: tRNA-Tyr
Rfam family: tRNA
About the family: Transfer RNA (tRNA) molecules are approximately 80 nucleotides in length. Their secondary structure includes four short double-helical elements and three loops (D, anti-codon, and T loops).
Source: RNAcentral